GACGAACGCUGGCGGCGUGCUUCAUACAUGCAAGUCGAACGAGAAGCUGACUUCGGUCAGUGGAAAGUGGCGGACGGGUGAGUAAUAUGUAGGAAAUCUGCCUUUAGGAGGGGGACAACAGAGGGAAACUUCUGCUAAUACCCCAUAUGAGCGUAGCUGAAAUGCUAUUCUUGAAAACUCCGGUGCCUAAAGAUGAGCCUGCAUCUGAUUAGCUAGUUGGUAGUGUAAUGGACUACCAAGGCGACGAUCAGUAGCUGGUUUGAGAGGAUGAUCAGCCACAAUGGGACUGAGCCCCGGCCCAUACUCCUACGGGGGGCAGCAGUAGGGAAUUUGUCGCAAGGGGCGAAAGCCUGCCGCAGCCACGCCGCGUGAACCAUUAAGCCCUUCGGGGUGUAAAGUUCUGUCAGUGGGGACGAAACUUGACGGUCCCCACAGAGGAAGCACCGGCUAACUCCGU
This 457-nucleotide ribosomal RNA is filed under the name uncultured bacterium. RNAcentral describes it as "partial 16S ribosomal RNA". It matches the Rfam family "Bacterial small subunit ribosomal RNA", at positions 28 to 506 of the family's 1533-position model. The record is from RNAcentral.